UACGUAGGGACCGAGCGUUGUCCGGAAUCAUUGGGCGUAAAGAGCGUGUAGGCGGCUUGUUAAGUCUUGCGUGAAAUCUCGGGGCUCAACCCCGAGCGGUCGUGAGAAACUGGCAGGCUAGAGUACUGGAGAGGGUCGUGGAAUUCCCGGUGUAGCGGUGAAAUGCGUAGAGAUCGGGAGGAACACCAGAGGCGAAGGCGGCGACCUGGACAGUUACUGACACUCAACUACGAGAGCGUGGGGAGCAAACAGG
This 253-nucleotide ribosomal RNA is filed under the name uncultured bacterium. Its description in RNAcentral is "partial 16S ribosomal RNA". It matches the Rfam family "Bacterial small subunit ribosomal RNA", at positions 524 to 776 of the family's 1533-position model. The record is from RNAcentral.